Molecule: long non-coding RNA, 2736 nt
Organism: Carassius auratus (goldfish)
Lineage: Eukaryota; Metazoa; Chordata; Actinopteri; Cypriniformes; Cyprinidae
Exons: 5
Source: RefSeq, a predicted model, not a curated record
CAAUACUUUGUUAACCUAACUGAGUUAUAGCACUUAUCAUUGCUCUUUUGUUGUUUUUGAUUGCUUCCACUGUCCUGGUUUGUAAGUCGCUUUGGAUAAAAGCGUCUGCUAAAUGAAUAAUGUAAAUGUAAAUAUAAUCAUAUUUCGCUUGAAUCAAGUUAAAGGUGUAAUCUGCUGAUUGUCCUGCAGGUAACCGCAUAAAUCUGUUUUCUUAAAUACACUUAGGGCUUAACCAUUACUCCAGAGCACCCGUAGAUCGAUGAUUUUCAAGGGCUACUUAAGUUAUGAUGCUUUUGGGAAACAGACCGUGAUAUUAAGAUCAGUAGUAUGAUCGUUUUUAUGAACUUCUUAGGCUUACGAUGCUUUUGGGAAACAGAACGUGAUAUUAAGAUCAGUAGUAUGAUCGUUUUUAUGAACUUCUUAGGCUUACGAAGCUUUUGGGAAACUCAGCCCAGUUUUUUUUCAACAUUCAUUCAAAUAGUAAUGUUUAUUUCGUGCUGCAAAUAUUGAAGAGGAAAAUAUAAUUGAUUCAUAUGCAGUUACCAAAUUAUCUCACUAAAUUAAGCAUAAAAAGCGUAAAAAAAGACGUUUAUUGUUGGUACGUAGUUUUUUGCAUAUAUGUCCGGAACUGACUCGCUAUGACAGACUCCCUGUGAUCAUAAGGCUUCAGUAGACAUCAACACAAAAGUAGGCUACUAUAUAGUACCGACUUAUUUUAAUAGACAUAAUACUUGAAAAUGAAAAUGUGUCAAAACAGUUUAAAAAAAUUUCAAAUAGGCAUAUAUAAACGUAUUAAUUAAUUAUCAAUAUAUAGGCUAUUAAUUUGAACAUGUAGAGUAGCCUACAAGAAACUGCUCUUGUAAUAAGGAACUGGUGCUCUGCAUUUAACCCAUCCAAGUGCACACACACAGCAGUGAGAAGUGAACACACACCCGGAGCAGUGGGCAGCUACAGAUCCAGCGCUGGGGAGCAACUGGGGUUUCAGUGCCAGGGUACUGAGUUCAGUCAUGGGUACUGAGGGUGGAAGAGAGUGCUGUUCAUUCACUCACUCCCACCUACAACUCCUGCCAGCACCAAGACUUGAACCGGAUACCUUCUUGUAAGUAGUCCAAGUCUCUAACCAUUAGGCCACAAACUUGUGCAAACUUCUGUCAAAAUCAAAUUCUCCAGUCAAAAACCCUUACAUGAUCUAUCAAUAUCAAACUUUGGCCUCAGAUGACAAAACCUACAGUACAAAUACACACACUACAAUUGUUUAGCUUCCUUAAAUAUAAUAAGUUAUCUUUACUUAGUUGUUAUACUUACUAGGUUUUAUUAAGUUACACAAUUUGCUAAUUUUAAGGCGAAUAGAACAACAUGCUGCAAUGAGUAAUUCUUUCUUAAAAUAUUCAAGUAGCUACAACAAAACCGAUGACAUUAAUUCACCAGUGAGAGGCAGCAGUGCGCUAAUGUGCAACAGGAACAAAACAACAGAAGAAGAAAUAAGGACGGUGAGCAUGCGCAGCAAGCAAAGUUUUGAAGCUGCGUCGAAUUUGCUUAAACUAAAAAGUAGAAAGACUGUUUACAUUUCACCUCUGGACAAAGAAUGAUUGAUUACUUCUACACAAUAAUAAUAAGGAAAAAAGCUUGUGUCAUCUGUCUUCUCUGAGCAGCGGUCUCGUGAUCACCGGUCUCAGUAUAAUAAAGAGGACACUUCACAUCCUAGAACCCAUAAAAUAAAAGAUUUGACAGAACUACACACCCAUCUGAGGCCUACCUGUUUUAAUUCAUGAUCACCCCGGAUACUUCUACAACUAACCUGCUUGGUGUCUGAUGCUGAUGCAGUCUGGGCACUAGUAUCUGUUGGCUUGCUGACUAUCACUGACGAUGAAGUACUUCUCCAAAUCUUGACCCAGUGUCUUCUGCCAUCAUUGUUCAGGGUAGUACUGCAAAGAAUAGUCUCCAGGGUCUGCCUCCAACAUUUGCUUCCCGAACACCAUGUGCUACGCUUGCAUCACUACAUGUGGGUUACUCUGAUACUGUGAAGAAAACCUACAAUAUGAUGCUUGACUUGGGACAGAAAAAAAAAACAUUGGCAACUUGUGUGGCCAACUCAUUGCCGUAUUUAAAAUCAUUGUACUGCUACCUCCAUUGUUUAACAUAACUAAAAGCAGAUUGUUUUUGCUUUGUUUCAAAAUUUUUGUAAUACGAGUUAAAACUACAUUGAAAAAAAUAUAUCAUCUUUAACUUUGAACUGUCACUACAUUUGAUUUAGGGUAAUUAUGUGUGUGAAGAAUAGAACAUUGUUGUCAUGAAUUUGUAAUAGAUUUUUGAAGUAUUUAAGUUACUAGAGUAAUGGUAACUUUUUUUUUUUUAAAGGCAAUUGGUCAAAACUAGAUUUCUGUUCAAGUAAAUACAACUUAGAAAUUCCAAGUUGCAGGAAAUGUUACUUGAUUUAGCUAAAUUUAAAUGACUUGUUUGAAAUACGUACAUAGUAUAAUGUACUUGAUUUAGUUGUUGAAAAUAGUAAUUCUGAGUUACACGUUUACAACACUUAUAAAUAAACCUUUGUUAGUACAAAUUACUAUUCUUAUUUCACUUUACUUGUUUUUUUUCAAGGCAAUCGGUUUGCAUACUUUUUUUAAAUAAAGUUUACUCAUUUUAAUUUACAGUGCAGACAAGCUCCCUGCCCAGUGCACACUAGUGAGAUAAAUUCAAAACACUGUAAUUGUAAUAAAGUACUGUAACUAUACUGUA